RNAcentral lists this ribosomal RNA (301 nucleotides) under uncultured bacterium. RNAcentral describes it as "partial 16S ribosomal RNA". It matches the Rfam family "Bacterial small subunit ribosomal RNA", at positions 509 to 807 of the family's 1533-position model. The record is from RNAcentral.
CAGUAGCCGCGGUAAUACGAACCGUGCGAACGUUACUCGGAAUUACUGGGCUUAAAGCGCGUGUAGGCGGGCCGCCACGUCGGUUGCUGAAAUCCCCCGGCUCAACCGGGGAAGUGGCAUCGAUACGAGCGGCCUUGAGGGGGGUAGGGGGAUCUGGAACUUCCGGUGGAGCGGUGAAAUGCGUUGAGAUCGGAAGGAACGCCCGUGGCGGAAGCGAGGUCCUGGACCCUUUCUGACGCUGAGACGCGAAAGCCAGGGGAGCGAACGGGAUUAGAUACCCCAGUAGUCCCUGUCUCUUAUA